Molecule: long non-coding RNA, 1334 nt
Organism: Triticum aestivum (bread wheat)
Lineage: Eukaryota; Viridiplantae; Streptophyta; Magnoliopsida; Poales; Poaceae
Exons: 3
Source: RefSeq, a predicted model, not a curated record
GCAUGGAGCGCCUGCAUCGGCCGCAGGGAGCCGGACGACGGCAUGUCCCGGAGCCGGCCGCUCUGCCACGCCGCGGCCGCGCCCUCUGCUGCUUGCCUCGGCUGGUACUGGGAGAAAUGGUACUGCCACAUCUGCUGCUGCUGCUGCGGAGUCGGCGCGAACUGCUGGAGCUUCAUGGCGGCCUGGCUCGCCGGCACGCCGGGGUGCGGCGCGUACCCCGGACCGCACAUGUACUGCUGCAUCUGCUGCUGGGCGACAUUGGCAAACAAGAUCUAAAACAUUGCGCAAAGAGAGAACCUGCUGGAUCGACAUCACGGGUGCCACAUUCCCUCUGCUACAAGGGAGAUGCGAAUACGACUGAUACGGCGCCGGACCGUGGUGAGUGGCGAUCAUCUGGGGAUGCAUAUACUGAACAUACUGUGGCCCCGAGAAUGCCGCCGAGGUGGGCAAGUUCAGGUAAUCAGUGCUGACCUGAAAGAAGCAGCAGGACAUGUCAAGCCUGAAGACAGAAUCACAGAAGAAACUGGGCUACUGGAGUAGCAGCAGUGCCAAUGGAAAGGCGGUUAUAAUCACAAACCAUUGCUUGCCGACCAGGAGCCAUGUCGCAAACCCCGAUAGAAGGCUGAACUGGGUUCCCCCCGUCGAAAUGCAUGCCAUUCUUAUUCAAGGUGGAGACGCUUGGAGAGCUUGAAAUGCGGCUGUGUGAUCUCUCCUGGGUGAUUACUUGAUUUUGUGACGCCUUAUCUUUGUCCAAAUGGUUUUGGAUGAGAUGACUCACAUAGGCAUGGGUAACACUUCUCUUCCAUGUCUUUGCAGAGCCACCAUUUUCAGGAAGGGAAAGCUGUGAAUAAAAAGGAUGCACUUGUCAGCUCAAAGGGUUCAAGCUCAACAUUUUGUUAUGUACAGGAAAAUCCUUUCAGGGGGAAGGCAGAACAAGGCAUCACCUUUCCGAGGGUCCUCGGCCUCUUCCUGAUGAUCAGGCUGCUGCUGCUGCUAGGAGUGGCGGAUCUGGUCAGUGAGGAGAGGACCGUAUCGUCGUCGUCGCGGCCUCCGUCGGAACCUUCUUCGGCCUCGCCGUUGCGAUGAUUGUUCAUGUCGCUGUUGGUUGAUCUCCACUUCAGGGGCUUGGGUUUCUUCCCUUUCUUACGCUUGAGUUCGGCGACGUGAUCCCCGCCCUCGCUCUCGUUCAUGUUGCUGUCUGGAAAUAGUGUUGAGAGGGGAACAGGCAUUAGAAAGGUAAUCUGAUGGAAUAGCCGUUGUCAAGCAUCAUGAUAUAGUGUUGUGAACUGCCGUACUUCUAGUACUUGAUUAAAUCCAUUAUUUCCCUUAAAAAA